This 1465-nucleotide ribosomal RNA is filed under the name uncultured bacterium. Its description in RNAcentral is "bacterial SSU rRNA". It matches the Rfam family "Bacterial small subunit ribosomal RNA". The record is from RNAcentral.
GACGAACGCUGGCGGCAUGCUUAACACAUGCAAGUCGAACGGUAAGGCCCUUCGGGGUACACGAGUGGCGAACGGGUGAGUAACACGUGAGUAACCUGCCCCCGACUUUGGAAUAAGCGCUCGAAAGGGCGUCUAAUACCGAAUAGUUCCUCAGUGGGCAUCCACUGAGGCGAAAAGCUCCGGCGGUUGGGGGUGGACUCGCGUCCUAUCAGCUUGUUGGUGAGGUAACGGCUCACCAAGGCUUCGACGGGUAGCCGGCCUGAGAGGGCGACCGGCCACACUGGGACUGAGAUACGGCCCAGACUCCUACGGGAGGCAGCAGUGGGGAAUAUUGCGCAAUGGGCGAAAGCCUGACGCAGCAAUGCCGCGUGCGGGAUGACGGCCUUCGGGUUGUAAACCGCUUUCAGCCAUGACGAAGCGAAAGUGACGGUAAUGGAAGAAGAAGCACCGGCCAACUACGUGCCAGCAGCCGCGGUGAUACGUAGGGUGCGAGCGUUGUCCGGAAUCAUUGGGCGUAAAGAGCUUGUAGGCGGUUUGUCACGUCGGAAGUGAAAACUCAGGGCUUAACUCUGAGCCUGCUUCCGAUACGGGCUGACUAGAGGAAGGUAGGGGAGAACGGAAUUCCUGGUGGAGCGGUGGAAUGCGCAGAUAUCAGGAGGAACACCGGUGGCGAAGGCGGUUCUCUGGACCUUUCCUGACGCUGAGAAGCGAAAGCGUGGGGAGCAAACAGGCUUAGAUACCCUGGUAGUCCACGCCGUAAACGGUGGCACUAGGUGUGGGGAACAUUCCACGUUCUCCGUGCCGCAGCUAACGCAUUAAGUGCCCCGCCUGGGGAGUACGGCCGCAAGGCUAAAACUCAAGGGAAUUGACGGGGGCCCGCACAAGCGGCGGAGCAUGCGGAUUAAUUCGAUGCAACGCGAAGAACCUUACCUGGGUUUGACAUAUACCGGAAACACCUAGAGAUAGGUGCCCCUUAUGGUCGGUAUACAGGUGGUGCAUGGCUGUCGUCAGCUCGUGUCGUGAGAUGUUGGGUUAAGUCCCGCAACGAGCGCAACCCUCGUCCUAUGUUGCCAGCAAUUCGGUUGGGGACUCAUAGGAGACUGCCGGGGUCAACUCGGAGGAAGGUGGGGAUGAGGUCAAGUCAUCAUGCCCCUUAUGUCCAGGGCUUCACGCAUGCUACAAUGGCUGGUACAAAGGGCAGCGAACCUGCGAAGGUAAGCGAAUCCCAUAAAGCCAGUCUCAGUUCGGAUUGGGGUCUGCAACUCGACCCCAUGAAGUCGGAGUCGCUAGUAAUCGCAGAUCAGCAACGCUGCGGUGAAUACGUUCCCGGGCCUUGUACACACCGCCCGUCAAGUCAUGAAAGUCGGCAACACCCGAAGCCGGUGGCCCAACCAUUUGGAGGGAGCCGUCGAAGGUGGGGCUGGUAAUUAGGACUAAGUCGUAACAAGGUAGCCGUACCGGAAGG